GAUGAACGCUGGCGGCGUGCUUAACACAUGCAAGUCGAACGGUGAAGCAGGAGCUUGCUCUUGUGGAUCAGUGGCGAACGGGUGAGUAACACGUGAGCAACCUGCCCCUGACUCUGGGAUAAGCGCUGGAAACGGCGUCUAAUACUGGAUAUGUGAUGUGACCGCAUGGUCUGCAUCUGGAAAGAAUUUCGGUUGGGGAUGGGCUCGCGGCCUAUCAGCUUGUUGGUGAGGUAAUGGCUCACCAAGGCGUCGACGGGUAGCCGGCCUGAGAGGGUGACCGGCCACACUGGGACUGAGACACGGCCCAGACUCCUACGGGAGGCAGCAGUGGGGAAUAUUGCACAAUGGGCGGAAGCCUGAUGCAGCAACGCCGCGUGAGGGAUGACGGCCUUCGGGUUAUAAACCUCUUUUGGCAGGGAAGAAGCGAAAGUGACGGUACCUGCAGAAAAAGCACCGGCUAACUACGUGCCAGCCGCCGCAGUAA
This 484-nucleotide ribosomal RNA is filed under the name uncultured bacterium. Its description in RNAcentral is "partial 16S ribosomal RNA". It matches the Rfam family "Bacterial small subunit ribosomal RNA", at positions 28 to 523 of the family's 1533-position model. The record is from RNAcentral.